Molecule: long non-coding RNA, 251 nt
Filed under: Malus domestica (apple)
Lineage: Eukaryota; Viridiplantae; Streptophyta; Magnoliopsida; Rosales; Rosaceae
Description: long non-coding RNA (MDOM_LNC012104)
Source: RNAcentral
UCGCCUGACUGAGUACGCGGCGACAACAAAGCGGGUCGAGCGGUUGAAGCUGGACAAGAAGAAUCGGCAAGCUGAAGUUAUCAUGGCCGAGGUGCGGUGGUUGGAAUUGAAGGCCCUUCUCAGCACCCUCUUACCUUCUUCCCCUUGAAUGUACUUAGUUUUAUCCUGAAUGACUUAGCUUGUACAUGCUCAUCAAUCUUAAUGAGAUGGUUUUGUUUACUCUCGCAUUUCCCACGUUACCGGGUAAUACU